UAAGCAUUUAGAAAUAUUGAUCUCAAAUAGAAACCUGCAAAAUAAUUCAAUUACAUUUCUUUGACAAAUGAGUCUGCAUGGAAAUGGUUUCUUUUGGAAGGGGAAGGACAGGAAAUAUUUGUUGUGUUCCGGGGCUCUCUGUCCUAUUGGUGGGGUUGCCUGCGCGCCGUUCUACAUAUUACCACCAGAAGGCGACAGGUUUCGGAUGGAGCGCGGUGACGUCAUCAUUUUCCCCAGCUGUUCCCGAUCACCUUCAUCAGCGGAGCAGUCAUAGGAGUGGGCCGUCAGUCCAACGUCGCCUGAGUGUUGUGCCAGUCACGGUUGCCCGAGUUCCCAGACUCACCUCUCUGCUGUUUGCAAAUCUCCUCUGGACUCCACGGCUGGCGGCCGUUCCACUCCUCCGUGUCUCCGUUUCACCCGAGCCUACCUGUCCGCUCCCCGCCGCACUCCUCCGCUGUCCCUGGAUCCAUUAGGGACCGAGACCCCGGACAAACCCAGUUUCCCUCCACAACUCUGCUCCAACAACCACAAUGAACUGUUGCUACCAUUACUGUUUAUUCCCCUGGACCAGACCACCCCGACUCUCUCUCUUUGAUUAUUGUGUGAUCUUUAAUAAAUCAUUUAAAACUGA
Molecule: long non-coding RNA, 631 nt
Organism: Xiphophorus maculatus (southern platyfish)
Lineage: Eukaryota; Metazoa; Chordata; Actinopteri; Cyprinodontiformes; Poeciliidae
Exons: 2
Source: RefSeq, a predicted model, not a curated record